This 503-nucleotide ribosomal RNA is filed under the name uncultured bacterium. RNAcentral describes it as "partial 16S ribosomal RNA". It matches the Rfam family "Bacterial small subunit ribosomal RNA", at positions 28 to 523 of the family's 1533-position model. The record is from RNAcentral.
GAUGAGCGCUAGCGGCAGGCCUAACACAUGCAAGUCGAGGGGUAGCAGGAUUAAGCUUGCUUAAUUGCUGACGACCGGCGCACGGGUGCGUAACGCGUAUGCAACCUACCUUAUACUGGGGUAUAGCCCGGAGAAAUUCGGAUUAAUCCCCCAUAGUACUACUGAAUCGCAUGGUUUAUUAGUUAAAGCAUUGCGGUAUAAGAUGGGCAUGCGUCCUAUUAGCUAGAUGGUGAGGUAACGGCUCACCAUGGCUACGAUAGGUAGGGGGCCUGAGAGGGUGGUCCCCCACACUGGUACCGAGACACGGACCAGACUCCUACGGGAGGCAGCAGUGAGGAAUAUUGGUCAAUGGGCGCAAGCCUGAACCAGCCAUGCCGCGUGCAGGAAGAAUGCCCUAUGGGUUGUAAACUGCUUUUAUUUGGGAAUAAACCUCUUUACGUGUAGAGAGCUGAAGGUACCAAAUGAAUAAGCACCGGCUAACUCCGUGCCAGCAGCCGCAGUAA